RNAcentral lists this ribosomal RNA (524 nucleotides) under uncultured bacterium. Its description in RNAcentral is "partial 16S ribosomal RNA". It matches the Rfam family "Bacterial small subunit ribosomal RNA", at positions 28 to 523 of the family's 1533-position model. The record is from RNAcentral.
GACGAACGCUGGCGGCGUGCCUAAUACAUGCAAGUCGAGCGCAGGAAGCCGUCUGAACCCUUCGGGGGGACGACGGUGGAAUGAGCGGCGGACGGGUGAGUAACACGUAAAGAACCUGCCCAUAGGUCUGGGAUAACCACGAGAAAUCGGGGCUAAUACCGGAUGUGUCAUCGGAUCGCAUGGUCCGCUGAUGAAAGGCGCUCCGGCGUCGCCGAUGGAUGGCUUUGCGGUGCACUAGCUAGUUGGUGGGGUAACGGCCCACCAAGGCGACGAUGCAUAGCCGACCUGAGAGGGUGAUCGGCCACACUGGGACUGAGACACGGCCCAGACUCCUACGGGAGGCAGCAGUAGGGAAUCUUCCUCAAUGGACGAAAGUCUGAUGGAGCAACGCCGCGUGAACGAUGAAGGCUUUCGGGUCGUAAAGUUCUGUUGUAAGGGAAGAACAAGUGCCGCAGGCAAUGGCGGCACCUUGACGGUACCUUGCGAGAAAGCCACGGCUAACUACGUGCCAGCCGCCGCCGUAA